RNAcentral lists this ribosomal RNA (253 nucleotides) under uncultured bacterium. RNAcentral describes it as "partial 16S ribosomal RNA". It matches the Rfam family "Bacterial small subunit ribosomal RNA", at positions 524 to 776 of the family's 1533-position model. The record is from RNAcentral.
UACGUAGGGACCAAGCGUUGUUCGGAUUUACUGGGAGUAAAGGGCGCGUAGGCGGCAAUUCAAGUCAGCUGUGAAAUCUCCGGGCUUAACUCGGAACGGUCAGCUGAUACUGCUUUGCUAGAGUGCAGAAGGGGCAAUCGGAAUUCUUGGUGUAGCGGUGAAAUGCGUAGAUAUCAAGAGGAACACCUGAGGUGAAGACGGGUUGCUGGGCUGACACUGACGCUGAGGAGCGAAAGCGUGGGGAGCGAACAGG